UCGAGCGCGAGCGUAAGGAGCUUGCUCCUUACAAUCGAGCGGCGGACGGGUGAGUAACACGUGGGCAACCUACCCUUUAGACUGGGAUAACUACCGGAAACGGUAGCUAAUACCGGAUAAGUUGGAUUACACAAGUAAUCUUAAUGAAAGGCGGAUUUAUCUGUCACUAAAGGAUGGGCCUGCGGUGCAUUAGCUAGUUGGUGAGGUAGUGGCUCACCAAGGCAACGAUGCAUAGCCGACCUGAGAGGGUGAUCGGCCACACUGGGACUGAGACACGGCCCAGACUCCUACGGGAGGCAGCAGUAGGGAAUCUUCCGCAAUGGACGCAAGUCUGACGGAGCAACGCCGCGUGAGUGAAGAAGGGUUUCGGAUCGUAAAACUCUGUUGUUAAGGAAGAACACUUUAGGUAGUAACUGUGCACAUCUUGACGGUACUUAACCAGAAAGCCACGGCUAACUACGUGCCAGCAGCCGCGGUAAUACGUAGGUGGCAAGCGUUAUCCGGAAUUAUUGGGCGUAAAGCGCGCGUAGGCGGUUUUUUAAGUCUGAUGUGAAAGCCCCCGGCUCAACCGGGGAGGGUCAUUGGAAACUGGAAAACUUGAGUGCAGAAGAGGAAAGUGGAAUUCCAUGUGUAGCGGUGAAAUGCGCAGAGAUAUGGAGGAACACCAGUGGCGAAGGCGACUUUCUGGUCUGUAACUGACGCUGAUGUGCGAAAGCGUGGGGAUCAAACAGGAUUAGAUACCCUGGUAGUCCACGCCGUAAACGAUGAGUGCUAAGUGUUAGGGGGUUUCCGCCCCUUAGUGCUGCAGCUAACGCAUUAAGCACUCCGCCUGGGGAGUACGACCGC
Molecule: ribosomal RNA, 846 nt
Filed under: uncultured Staphylococcus sp.
Lineage: Bacteria; Bacillati; Bacillota; Bacilli; Caryophanales; Staphylococcaceae
Description: bacterial SSU rRNA
Rfam family: Bacterial small subunit ribosomal RNA
Source: RNAcentral